UCAUUCACUGACUGUAAGUCGCUCUGGAUAAGAGCGUCUGCUAGAUGACCAAAA
Non-coding RNA from Salmo salar (Atlantic salmon), 54 nucleotides. The record is from Rfam. NCBI's taxonomy places the organism in Eukaryota, Metazoa, Chordata, Actinopteri, Salmoniformes, Salmonidae.